This is a long non-coding RNA of Danaus plexippus (monarch butterfly), 738 nucleotides long. RefSeq lists it as uncharacterized. NCBI's taxonomy places the organism in Eukaryota, Metazoa, Arthropoda, Insecta, Lepidoptera, Nymphalidae. The transcript is spliced from 3 exons. The record is from RefSeq and is a predicted model, not a curated record.
CAGUGCGACGUCGGCCGGCGAGCGGGACGGACGCGUGUCGGCCUCGUAUAUAUAAAAUACAAAUCGAUGUAUAAAUAUAAAGAGUUAUAGUGUAUGCAGUCGGUGUCGUACCUUGAUAUUUCGUAAGUGCAGUGCCAUAUGGCGCCGGUGUUAUCUUACAUGUAAUCUUUUAAUAUUAGCAUACGAUUUCUUGAAACUUAUGAAAUAAAACAUGGCACGUAACAUUUUAAAUUACACAAUCGCCUUUAUUGUAAUAUAAAUUGAACAAUAUUGUUUGAGAUUCAGAAAUAAAACACAGAGCGAUAACGAGUGAAGUCUAGAUUCAGAAAUGAAGUUGUGGAAAAAAUAUCAUUUGUGUCGAAAUCUGAGAAUCGAGUCAUCGGACCGUCUCUGAGUGAAGUUUAGUGUCGGACAUGAAGCAGUGUUGAAGUGGAGACGACGAUGCAUCUUCAAAGUGACGUGUGUGACAUCAGCUAUGGGGACGAGAAGGAAAUAUCGAAGAAGGCUGAGAUGCUGUAUUAUGAACUGAUCAGAGCUCUGGAGGAAGAGGAAAGGAAUUUAAUUGCUGAUGAGAGUGUCGUCGAGCAUGUUAUAUCGGAGUGGAAUUAGAAUCGGAAGGUUUCGGUAAUAUUUUGUAGUUUGAAUAAGAAACGUACUUCAUAAUUAAUGAAUAUCUUCUUUUUAGUAAGAGUUUGAACAAAGUAGCCAAAGUAUCAGCUGUUUCUAAUGAAAAACGUU